GACGAACGCUGGCGGCGUGCCUAAUACAUGCAAGUAGAACGCACAGUUUAUACCGUAGCUUGCUACACCAUAGACUGUGAGUUGCGAACGGGUGAGUAACGCGUAGGUAACUUGCCUGGUAGCGGGGGAUAACUAUUGGAAACGAUAGCUAAUACCGCAUAAUAUUAAUUAUUGCAUGAUAAUUAAUUGAAAGGUGCAAUUGCACCACUACCAGAUGGACCUGCGUUGUAUUAGCUAGUAGGUGAGGUAACGGCUCACCUAGGCGACGAUACAUAGCCGACCUGAGAGGGUGAUCGGCCACACUGGGACUGAGACACGGCCCAGACUCCUACGGGAGGCAGCAGUAGGGAAUCUUCGGCAAUGGACGAAAGUCUGACCGAGCAACGCCGCGUGAGUGAAGAAGGUUUUCGGAUCGUAAAGCUCUGUUGUAAGAGAAGAACGGGUGUGAGAGUGGAAAGUUCACACUGUGACGGUAUCUUACCAGAAAGGGACGGCUAACUACGUG
This 505-nucleotide ribosomal RNA is filed under the name uncultured bacterium. RNAcentral's name for it is "partial 16S ribosomal RNA". It matches the Rfam family "Bacterial small subunit ribosomal RNA", at positions 28 to 507 of the family's 1533-position model. The record is from RNAcentral.